RNAcentral lists this transfer RNA (74 nucleotides) under Ignisphaera aggregans. Its description in RNAcentral is "tRNA-Met". It matches the Rfam family "tRNA", at positions 7 to 64 of the family's 71-position model. From Rfam's summary of the family: Transfer RNA (tRNA) molecules are approximately 80 nucleotides in length. Their secondary structure includes four short double-helical elements and three loops (D, anti-codon, and T loops). Lineage: Archaea; Thermoproteati; Thermoproteota; Thermoprotei; Desulfurococcales; Desulfurococcaceae. The record is from RNAcentral.
GGGGUAGGGCAGCCUGGUAGCCCGCGGGGCUCAUAACCCCGAGGUCGGUGGUUCAAAACGGGGGCGCCCGCCCA